GUCCAAGUUGAUCUAGGACUGCUGAAGAUUAGAAAAAAUAAUAAUAAUAAUUAAAACAACCAUUAUCAUUCAAUUCAUUCACUAAUUAUAACAUCCACAAAUUUAUUCAAUCAUAACAUUAACAGCUCAAAUAGAAUAAAACUGCCCAAUAAAAGAAAAAGAACAGCAAGACAAAAAGGAGACCAAGUACAUGUGCUUACAGGUUCACUCAUACUCUAGUCUAUAGCUUCCUUAAAAUUCCUAAAACAGCAAGCAGUGGCAAUAAUAUAGCCUCACAAUAAAUCAACAAUUAUAAUGAUGAUGAUUGCAGUAGCAGCCAUUACAAAUACCAAUGUUUAAACAUGAAAAUUUCAUCAUCAUAACACAUUUCUAGUUACAUCAAAAUUUGUUGAAUGUUAAACGGAGAACAUACCAUUGGAAGUUGUCAAAUCUUGA
This 435-nucleotide unclassified non-coding RNA is filed under the name Hevea brasiliensis (rubber tree). The record is from RNAcentral. Lineage: Eukaryota; Viridiplantae; Streptophyta; Magnoliopsida; Malpighiales; Euphorbiaceae.